Molecule: ribosomal RNA, 442 nt
Filed under: uncultured bacterium
Lineage: Bacteria
Description: partial 16S ribosomal RNA
Rfam family: Bacterial small subunit ribosomal RNA
Source: RNAcentral
CCUACGGGGCGCAGCAGUAGGGAAUCUUUCACAAUGGGCGAAAGCCUGAUGGAGCAACGCCGCGUGCAGGAUGAAGGCCUUCGGGUUGUAAACUGCUUUUAUAAGCGAGAAAUAUGAUGGUAACUUAUGAAUAAGGAUCGGCUAACUACGUGCCAGCAACCGCGGUCAUACGUAGGAUCCGAGCAUUAUCCGGAGUGACUGGGUGUAAAGAGUUGCGUAGGUGGCAUAAUAAGUAGCUAGUGAAAUCUGGUGGCUCAACCAUUCAGACUAUUAGCUAAACUGUUAAGCUCGAGACCGUUAGGGGUAACUGGAAUUUCUAGUGUAGGAGUGAAAUCCGUAGAUAUUAGAAGGAACACCAAUAGCGUAGGCAGGUUGCUGGGACGGUUCUGACACUAAGGCACGAAAGCGUAGGGAGCAAACGGGAUUAGAUACCCCAGUAGUC